UAGCCAAGUGGAUCAAGGCAGUGGA
This 25-nucleotide transfer RNA is filed under the name Cirsium virginense. Its description in RNAcentral is "partial tRNA-His". The record is from RNAcentral. Lineage: Eukaryota; Viridiplantae; Streptophyta; Magnoliopsida; Asterales; Asteraceae.